GAUGAACGCUGGCGGCGUGCCUAAUACAUGCAAGUCGAGCGAACGGACGAGAAGCUUGCUUCUCUGAAGUUAGCGGCGGACGGGUGAGUAACACGUAGCUAACCUACCUAUAAGACUGGGAUAACUUAGGGAAACCGUAGCUCACACCGGAUAAUAUUUUGAACCGCAUGGAUCAAAAGUGAAAGAGGGUCUUGCUGUCACUUAUAGGUAGAACCGCGCUGCAUUAGCUAGUUGGUAAGGUAACGGCUUACCAAGGCAACGAUGCAUAGCCGACCUGAGAGGGUGAUCAGCCACACUGGAACUGAGACACGGUCCAGACUCCUACGGGAGGCAGCAGUAGGGAAUCUUGCACAAUGGGCGAAAGCCUGACGGAGCAACGCCGCGUGAGUGAUGAAGGUCUUCGGAUCGUAAAACUCUGUUAUUAGGGAAGAACAUAAGUGUGAGUAACUGUGCACAUCUUGACGUUACCUAAACAGAAAGCCACGGCUAACUACGUG
This 497-nucleotide ribosomal RNA is filed under the name uncultured bacterium. Its description in RNAcentral is "partial 16S ribosomal RNA". It matches the Rfam family "Bacterial small subunit ribosomal RNA", at positions 28 to 507 of the family's 1533-position model. The record is from RNAcentral.